Arachis duranensis is the source of this 662-nucleotide long non-coding RNA. RefSeq lists it as uncharacterized. The record is from RefSeq and is a predicted model, not a curated record. Lineage: Eukaryota; Viridiplantae; Streptophyta; Magnoliopsida; Fabales; Fabaceae. The transcript is spliced from 4 exons.
CGGUUCCCUUGCCGCCGCCAUCGUCGACAAGUCCAGCCGCCGCCAUCACCUCUCUAUUUCUGUUGAUGGUGGCCAGCCGCUGGGUCGCGCAGAGGAGAAGAGGCAGAACCGUGCCCAACCACCGCCGCUUCUGCCGCCAAGAAACCCCGAUGUGCCUCUGGUUGCCGGGAGACGGUGUGGUUGCUGCAGGAGGUAGCCGCCGGAGCCGCUGCUCCAUUCUGCCAUUCCUUUUUAUUACAGUUUGUUGCUGAGCCACUAGAGCUUCUGGCCACUGACGGAGCCGUUGCUAGGCUGAUAUAGAGCUGUGGCUGCCCUAUUUUGUUAUUUCAGAGCUAGAAUCCGGUUUGCUUGUGCCUUUGGGGCUGUUUCUGCUUUUGAGAGAGCAAGCAUAGCCGAGAUUUUGAUUGCCAGUGAUUUCGGGUCGAGAUAAAAGGAGUUGGUUAACGAGUUGGGUUGUGGUUCCAAUGUUGUGAGGAUUUGGGCGCAGAAGUUAUGAAGAGUUUAAUUAUUUGUUAUUGAGAUGCUCUGUAUUGCUUUAGAUUAUUAUUUUUGUACCCUCGCCUUUAUCUUGAUAUAUUCUGUGAGAGGGAUAGGAAUUGUACUGGAUAAUGUUUGUAAUAUUAUUUAUAUAUAUGUAUGUAUAUAUAUAUGGAUGUACUCUU